This is a long non-coding RNA of Homo sapiens (human), 1257 nucleotides long. Ensembl annotates it as LY6S antisense RNA 1. Its record names the gene LY6S-AS1. The record is from Ensembl. NCBI's taxonomy places the organism in Eukaryota, Metazoa, Chordata, Mammalia, Primates, Hominidae.
GAGAGGACAGUCCCCAGGCCUUGCUAAGCAUGCGUGGUAUCAAGAGGUGCAUUGAGGCGCUCCUGCAGCCUCCUCCCGGCACGGGACUCCUCACAACCCCCAGCCUCAGCUUCCCUGACAGGGCAGGGGCUCACUCUUCUCCACUCCGGGCCAGGAACGCAGCCUGCUUGCCUUUUGUCCAAUUGGGUGCUCUUUCUUUGCGACUGAUACAAAGUGGGAACAAACUCCGCUUCCGGUGAUGCCCGGGCCCCAGGAGGCUGGGGGAGAAGUGCACGCUGCCCAGCCUUCAACCUGAACUGCCCCCAGCACUUCCGAGCCCCGACCCCUGCAGCUGUGAGGGAAGCCCCGACCUCUGCCCUGGCCACAUCCUUCCCCUGAUCUCAUGGCUGAAAAGCCACACCAGAAUUCCUGCAAUUCAGUGAGGCAGCUCUUCAAAACCAAGCAGCUGGUGACGCACAGGGACAGAGGGUAGGCCUGCGGGGGAGAGGGCGGGAAAGGCCCUCACAGCAGGGCCCAGAGGAAGACUGACCCCAGGCUGAGCAGGAGCUGUACGCACAGGGCCCAGGGGCUGCUGGCUGCCAGGACCACCGCAUUGCAGAGGUCUCCCUUGCAGCAAGAGAUCUGGGAGUCCACAACGGCACUUAACCUGCCCUCUGCCCUGGCACCCCAGGGACUCACUGCCAAAGACGCUCACUUUCUGGGAGACACAGACCCCAUCCAGGAAGGGGCACGAGACCACGCUGCAGGAGGCCCCUUCCAAGACCGCCAAGCAUCUGUAGCAGCGCAGACCCUGAGCUGGGAGAGAGGGCAAGAAAACACACCCCUGGUGGAGAUUUAAGAUGCUAAUGACACAUGCGACGUAUGAGCAAGCAGGUGCAGCUACUGCACGUGUGCACCCAGAGGACCCCCCCAGAACAUGCUUCCUAGCAACACCUCUGCCCACCCGCUGAUUCUCUCGGCACCACGGGAACCACCUUCUCUACUCUCACUGAACACCCCUGGGAUGUAUCUGUAAAAAUUGGAACACCUUUCGGCUAGAAACCAGAGGAAGCCGCUCAUGACACCCGGGAGCUCACAGAGGCUCUGAAGUUUCUAUUCAAGAAAACAACUCCAGAUGGGGCUGAUCUGGAAGACAAGUAACAUCUUCCUUUUCUUGGUGCUCGCCUGCCGUGCUCUAGGUGCUUUUAGAGAUGCUGGUCUGUGUGCUAGGGAAGCGAUGAACCAUACUGUUAGUCUAUUAAACAUAACUCAACCUGG